Molecule: long non-coding RNA, 1296 nt
Organism: Sebastes umbrosus (honeycomb rockfish)
Lineage: Eukaryota; Metazoa; Chordata; Actinopteri; Perciformes; Sebastidae
Exons: 2
Source: RefSeq, a predicted model, not a curated record
UAUGCCUUUAUUCUGGAAAUCUCAUAUGUUCUUUCCCUCAAUGUGGCCCUAAUACUCCGUCGUACAUUUGAACUUGGGCCCUCACAUCAUUAGACUAAAACUAUAAACUGUAUUACCUUCAUCACAAUGCUCAAAUGUUUUGCAGCUCCAGACAGAUUUUUUUUUGCAUUUUUUGAGCACACAGUGGUUACUACUAAUCAGUAGGUCAACUGCAGUGCAUGUUCUUAAUUUGGAGUUAUGUUGUUUUUAUGCUUGUUUUUACACCGAAUAAAUAAUUUGACACCUAAAUUAGAACUGAAAAAAUGCAUGUCCUCAACAUCUUUUUUUUUUAUAAUUCUUUUUAUUAACCACCCUCAACCAGAUCAAUAUGUGUUUGUGAAAGCCAACACUGAUAUGACCCAUAUUUUGCAGCAGUUCUGAGUACAGCUGUAACUAACCAUUCAUUUGGUCUAUACAAUGUCAUUAAAUAGAAAAAAAACAGCCCAAAACCCACAGAUUGUUGAUUUACUAUCACUAAUACUGUACUUACUACUGUACUAUUACAGACAGCAAAUCCUUACAGUAGAAGCUGUAACUAUAGUUCAGAAUAAAACAGAAAAAAAAUAGUUGCUGAUUGAUUUUCUGAUUUGAAUCAAUUAAUUGACAAAUCAUUUCAGCUCUAUUAUUUAGGUUUUGACAGUUUUAUUGUUAUCAGAUUGGAAAAUCAUUUGGAACUAUAUUCAACCAUCAAAAGAAACUCUCCUCUUCACUAAUGAAUAGUUUUAGGUGGGUCUCUGUGGGGCAUCUGAGGUUUUACAAAUUGUUGAAUAAAUUCCACACCACGCUGCAGACAUCUGAUACUUUAAUACAUUUAAUCAUGCAUAUUGUGUGGAAUCUGAUCAAAACGCUGCAUUCAAAUGAGGAUUAGACUGAUAUAUUGACUUGGACUGGCUGCAGUCAGGCAGGAGGUGUUUCACAUUGGCUGGCUUUCAGUUUUUAAUAACAAACUAAAUUGGCUCAUUAUUUUUUGGUUUAAAGCUAGCACACACACACACACUGUCAUCUGUUGCCUGAAACCACUGACUUUAAUUUGCCACUCGUCAUUUAUUGAUCAAAGAUAUGUUUUCUGGUCACUGAUCAGUCAUUGAUUCACUUUGUAUGCUCUUUAAGAGUCGGUGGACAAUAAGUGGGUUUGGAUUUUGGCGGGUGAUAUUGCAGGGAGUUUGAUGAACUGACAACUGUGUUUCAAGGAAAAUUGUUUACCAGUUCAUUAUUGAACAAAUGGGAACUAGACUCUUAAUAAACAGUUUGACUGUU